GAUGAACGCUGGCGGCGUGCCUAAUACAUGCAAGUCGAGCGAACGGACGAGAAGCUUGCUUCUCUGAUGUUAGCGGCGGACGGGUGAGUAACACGUGGAUAACCUACCUAUAAGACUGGGAUAACUUCGGGAAACCGGAGCUAAUACCGGAUAAUAUUUUGAACCGCAUGGUUCAAAAGUGAAAGACGGUCUUGCUGUCACUUAUAGAUGGAUCCGCGCUGCAUUAGCUAGUUGGUAAGGUAACGGCUUACCAAGGCAACGAUGCAUAGCCGACCUGAGAGGGUGAUCGGCCACACUGGAACUGAGACACGGUCCAGACUCCUACGGGAGGCAGCAGUAGGGAAUCUUCCGCAAUGGGCGAAAGCCUGACGGAGAAACGCCGCGUGAGUGAUGAAGGUCUUCGGAUCGUAAAACUCUGUUAUUAGGGAAGAACAUAUGUGUAAGUAACUGUGCACACCUUGACGGUACCUAAUCAGAAAGCCACGGCUAACUACGUG
Molecule: ribosomal RNA, 497 nt
Filed under: uncultured bacterium
Lineage: Bacteria
Description: partial 16S ribosomal RNA
Rfam family: Bacterial small subunit ribosomal RNA
Source: RNAcentral